Molecule: transfer RNA, 85 nt
Filed under: Neisseria gonorrhoeae
Lineage: Bacteria; Pseudomonadati; Pseudomonadota; Betaproteobacteria; Neisseriales; Neisseriaceae
Also listed under: 2 other names
Description: tRNA-Leu(tag)
Rfam family: tRNA
About the family: Transfer RNA (tRNA) molecules are approximately 80 nucleotides in length.
Source: RNAcentral
GCGGACGUGGCGAAAUUGGUAGACGCACCAGAUUUAGGUUCUGGCGUCGAGAGGUGUGAGAGUUCGAGUCUCUCCGUCCGCACCA